Molecule: ribosomal RNA, 396 nt
Filed under: uncultured bacterium
Lineage: Bacteria
Description: partial 16S ribosomal RNA
Rfam family: Bacterial small subunit ribosomal RNA
Source: RNAcentral
AUACGUAGGGGGCAAGCGUUAUCCGGAUUUACUGGGUGUAAAGGGAGCGUGGACGGCAAAGCAAGUCUGAAGUGAAAGCCCCGGGCUCAACCCGGGAAUUGCUUUGGAAACUGUUUAGCUGGAGUGCAGGAGAGGUAAGCGGAAUUCCUAGUGUAGCGGUGAAAUGCGUAGAUAUUAGGAGGAACACCGGCGGCGAAGGCGGCUUACUGGACUGUAACUGACGUUGAGGCUCGAAAGCGUGGGGAGCAAACAGGAUUAGAUACCCUGGUAGUCCACGCCGUAAACGAUGAUUACUAGGUGUUGGUUGUCAUAGACAAUCGGUGCCGCAGCAAACGCAAUAAGUAAUCCACCUGGGGAGUACGUUCGCAAGAAUGAAACUCAAAUGAAUUGACGGGG